RNAcentral lists this long non-coding RNA (213 nucleotides) under Medicago truncatula (barrel medic). RNAcentral describes it as "long non-coding RNA (MTRU_LNC003317)". The record is from RNAcentral. Lineage: Eukaryota; Viridiplantae; Streptophyta; Magnoliopsida; Fabales; Fabaceae.
AUCACCUUCCUCAUCUUCGGCCUCAUACACUGGGAAUUCAAAAUUCGGAGGGAAUGCAGGGUUACUGUGCCCAACGGGUUUAUUAUAGUUCAAUCUGCGUAAAAUGGUUGGAUGAUUUUAGAAAGAGGGUUUUUUAUGCAGAUUUUUGAAAUUAAUAAGAAAAUACAGAUGUUUUGGUUUUUUCUGGCAUUACCAUUAUUUCCAAGAAAAAAA